This 481-nucleotide ribosomal RNA is filed under the name uncultured bacterium. Its description in RNAcentral is "partial 16S ribosomal RNA". It matches the Rfam family "Bacterial small subunit ribosomal RNA", at positions 29 to 507 of the family's 1533-position model. The record is from RNAcentral.
AUGAACGCUGGCGGCGUGCCUAAUACAUGCAGGUCGAACGCUUCACUUCGGUGAAGAGUGGCGAACGGGUGAGUAAUACAUAAGUAACCUGGCAUCUACAGGGGGAUAACUGAUGGAAACGUCAGCUAAGACCGCAUAGGUGUAGAGAUCGCAUGAACUCUAUAUGAAAAGUGCUACGGGACUGGUAGAUGAUGGACUUAUGGCGCAUUAGCUUGUUGGUAGGGUAACGGCCUACCAAGGCGACGAUGCGUAGCCGACCUGAGAGGGUGACCGGCCACACUGGGACUGAGACACGGCCCAGACUCCUACGGGAGGCAGCAGUAGGGAAUUUUCGGCAAUGGGGGAAACCCUGACCGAGCAACGCCGCGUGAAGGAAGAAGUAAUUCGUUAUGUAAACUUCUGUCAUAGAGGAAGAACGGUGGAUAUAGGGAAUGAUAUCCAAGUGACGGUACUCUAUAAGAAAGCCACGGCUAACUACGUG